UUCCACUAGAGGUGCUGUUGAAAACAGCUGAGAUUGAAGUGAUCAACUUCGGGACUCUUUGAACCUGAACUAGUUAAGACUAGCGGAGGAAAGUGGG
This 97-nucleotide non-coding RNA is filed under the name pig gut metagenome. Its description in RNAcentral is "TPP riboswitch (THI element)". It matches the Rfam family "TPP riboswitch aptamer (THI element)", at positions 6 to 93 of the family's 105-position model. From Rfam's summary of the family: Vitamin B(1) in its active form thiamin pyrophosphate (TPP) is an essential coenzyme that is synthesised by coupling of pyrimidine and thiazole moieties in bacteria. The previously detected thiamin-regulatory element, thi box was extended, resulting in a new, highly conserved RNA secondary structure, the THI element, which is widely distributed in eubacteria and also occurs in some archaea. The record is from RNAcentral.